RNAcentral lists this ribosomal RNA (467 nucleotides) under uncultured bacterium. Its description in RNAcentral is "bacterial SSU rRNA". It matches the Rfam family "Bacterial small subunit ribosomal RNA", at positions 28 to 517 of the family's 1533-position model. The record is from RNAcentral.
GACGAACGCUGGCGGCGUGCUUAACACAUGCAAGUCGAACGGUAACGCGGGGGCAACCCUGGCGACGAGUGGCGAACGGGUGAGUAAUACAUCGGAACGUACCCAGUAGUGGGGGAUAGCUCGGCGAAAGCCGGAUUAAUACCGCAUACGACCUAUGGGUGAAAGCGGGGGAUCGCAAGACCUCGCGCUAUUGGAGCGGCCGAUGUCGGAUUAGCUAGUUGGUGAGGUAAAGGCUCACCAAGGCACGAUCCGUAGCUGGUCUGAGAGGACGACCAGCCACACUGGGGACUGAGACACGGCCCAGACUCCUACGGGAGGCAGCAGUAAGGAUAUUCCACAAUGGGGAAACCCUGAUGGAGCGACGCCGCGUGCGCGAAGAAGCCCUUCGGGUGUAAAGCGCUUUUCUGCGGGGUGAGACAAGACAGUACCGCAGGAAUAAGCCUCGGCUAACUACGUGCCAGCAGCCG